GCGCCUCGUGAAUUCAUCUCCGGGGGUAGAGCACUGUUUCGGCUAGGGGGCCAUCCCGGCUUACCAACCCGAUGCAAACUGCGAAUACCGGAGAAUGUUAUCACGGGAGACACACGGCGGGUGCUAACGUCCGUCGUGAAGAGGGAAACAACCCAGACCGCCAGCUAAGGUCCCAAAGUCAUGGUUAAGUGGGAAACGAUGUGGGAAGGCCCAGACAGCCAGGAUGUUGGCUUAGAAGCAGCCAUCAUUUAAAGAAAGCGUAAUAGCUCACUGGUCGAGUCGGCCUGCGCGGAAGAUGUAACGGGGCUAAACCAUGCACCGAAGCUGCGGCAGCGACACUGUGUGUUGUUGGGUAGGGGAGCGUUCUGUAAGCCUGUGAAGGUGUGUCGUGAGGCAUGCUGGAG
This 404-nucleotide ribosomal RNA is filed under the name Salmonella enterica. RNAcentral's name for it is "partial 23S ribosomal RNA". It matches the Rfam family "Bacterial large subunit ribosomal RNA", at positions 877 to 1278 of the family's 2925-position model. Lineage: Bacteria; Pseudomonadati; Pseudomonadota; Gammaproteobacteria; Enterobacterales; Enterobacteriaceae. The record is from RNAcentral. RNAcentral also lists the same sequence under 1 other name.